UCAUUUGUUCCACUUGGGAGAGUCUUCUGCUUUAAGGGUCACAUCUUAAUUAAGUUGUGUGUGUUUUCAAAUACAAAUGUUUAUACUAAUAUUUAUAUAUAAUUAGUUAAACUAAUAUGUGGAGAAUUCAAUUUUUUUUUUUAACAAACUUCGAAUAAAUAGCCAAGACAAAGUGGAAUUGAUUCUCACUAUUUUAGAAGUAAAGUUAACUAUUUUUUUAGUUAAAGAAAUCUUAUAGUUUACCUUCUUGUAAAUGCCCUUUUUAAUAAUGAUUAAUCUCCC
Molecule: long non-coding RNA, 282 nt
Filed under: Capsella rubella
Lineage: Eukaryota; Viridiplantae; Streptophyta; Magnoliopsida; Brassicales; Brassicaceae
Description: long non-coding RNA (CRUB_LNC004016)
Source: RNAcentral